UACGUAGGGGGCGAGCGUUGUCCGGAUUUACUGGGCGUAAAGGGCGCGUAGGCGGCCUCCGCAAGUCAGUUGUGAAAUCUCCGAGCUUAACUCGGAAAGGUCAACUGAUACUGCGGGGCUAGAGUGCGGAAGGGGCAACUGGAAUUCUUGGUGUAGCGGUGAAAUGCGUAGAUAUCAGGAGGAACACCGAUGGCGAAGGCAGGUCUCUGGGCAUUAACUGACGCUGAGGAGCGAAAGCAUGGGGAGCGAACAGG
This 254-nucleotide ribosomal RNA is filed under the name uncultured bacterium. RNAcentral describes it as "partial 16S ribosomal RNA". It matches the Rfam family "Bacterial small subunit ribosomal RNA", at positions 524 to 776 of the family's 1533-position model. The record is from RNAcentral.